Long non-coding RNA from Sander lucioperca (pikeperch), 197 nucleotides. RefSeq lists it as uncharacterized. Lineage: Eukaryota; Metazoa; Chordata; Actinopteri; Perciformes; Percidae. The record is from RefSeq and is a predicted model, not a curated record. The transcript is spliced from 4 exons.
ACCCACUGGUUAAGAUUCUGCCGACUCCUAAACCGAAUACCGAAUCCUACUCCCAUCCUCAGUCCAUUAACACAGUAAACACAUUAAUGAAGUAAACAACGUCCACAGCCUCUAAAAUAGUUAAAUGUAACACCUUGAUGUUGAAUUCACAUGCUCUUUUCACAUCGUACCUGAAAGCGCAUCGUUAUCGACAGAUG